UGAUCCUCCCGUACCUCCUGCCGAGGCGGCCCGGGGCAGACACCCACGGCAGGGUCACUGCUGACUGCAAGAGAAGCUGCUUCAGAAGAAGAGAAAUUUGCAUCGUACAUACCUAAAGGAGGUUGAAUCAUAUCCUCGGGUGAGAGACCGGGACAAUGCGUGUGUCCAUUUAGCCCAGCCCAGUCUAACCUCUGACCUUGCACCUGGCCUUGUGUUACUUCACCACCUUCGAGCGGUUUCAUGAAAGAAGUGAAUACUUGAAGGAUUUGAAGAAACUGGGAGGAAACAGUGAAUUUUCCUGGAGAGGAACUCAACCAAAGGGCUGUGACAUUACAGAAGGGCCUCCCUUUGACUUCAGUUGGCUCUGGACAGGCCUGUGCAACAGGGAGGUGAGAGCUGGGCCUCAAAGAUGGUGUGGAUGAAAAUAUUUUGAGGAAAAUACAAAUACUCAAUGAGAAAAAGAGCAGGAUAGAAAUAGGCACAGUCUUGCAUAAUGGAAAACAAGUAAUUUUUAAGAUGAUAAAUGAAGCUGUAAGGAGCAGUAAAGAGAUGCAAAGGCAGGAACAAUAUAGCA
Long non-coding RNA from Poecile atricapillus (Black-capped chickadee), 574 nucleotides. RefSeq lists it as uncharacterized. The record is from RefSeq and is a predicted model, not a curated record. The transcript has 3 exons. NCBI's taxonomy places the organism in Eukaryota, Metazoa, Chordata, Aves, Passeriformes, Paridae.